GAUGAACGCUAGCUACAGGCUUAACACAUGCAAGUCGAGGGGCAGCAUCGCGAUAGCUUGCUAUUGCGGAUGGCGACCGGCGCACGGGUGAGUAACGCGUAUCCAACCUUCCCGCAACUGGGGAAUAACCUUGCGAAAGUAAGACUAAUACCCCAUGGUCUCCACGGAUGGCAUCUGAAAUGGAGUAAAGGUUUCGGCCGGUUGCGGAUGGGGAUGCGUCCGAUUAGCUUGACGGCGGGGUAACGGCCCACCGUGGCAUCGAUCGGUAGGGGUUCUGAGAGGAAGGUCCCCCCACAUUGGAACUGAGACACGGGUCCAAAACUCCUACGGGAGGCAGCAGUGAGGAAUAUUGGUCAAUGGGCGGAAGCCUGAACCAGCCAAGUAGCGUGAAGGACGACUGCCCUAUGGGUUGUAAACUUCUUUUAUGCGGGGAUAAAGUUCGCCACGUGUGGCGUUUUGCAGGUACCGCAUGAAUAAGGACCGGCUAAUUCCGUG
Molecule: ribosomal RNA, 495 nt
Filed under: uncultured bacterium
Lineage: Bacteria
Description: bacterial SSU rRNA
Rfam family: Bacterial small subunit ribosomal RNA
Source: RNAcentral